Phascolarctos cinereus (koala) is the source of this 3948-nucleotide non-coding RNA. The record is from RefSeq and is a predicted model, not a curated record. NCBI's taxonomy places the organism in Eukaryota, Metazoa, Chordata, Mammalia, Diprotodontia, Phascolarctidae.
CCGAAAAGCAGGCAUCUCUCUCCCCUCAGAAGGGACGCUCUGGGAGGGUUUGCCAUAGGAGACACUGUCUCCAGAAAGUUCAGCGGGGAAUGGGGGAGCCCUCCGUGCGGAAAAGUAAAGGAGGGGACCAGAGAUACGGAGCUGGAAGGGACAUCCUCCCUCAAUUUUACAGAUUUGACUAGACGGUGUGGCCAAUCUGCCGACGCUGAAUAGGAGCCUACUGCGAGCCCGGGGGCGGGGCAGCACGGGGAUGUCCAGCACGCAUGCUCGGACGUCUGAGAGACGGUGGCAGCUGCUGACAGAAGCGGCGGAGGCGGCCCCGGGCUCACGGAGAGCUCCGCCGCCGGCCUCGCCGCACGCGGGGAGAAGGAGCCCCCGACGGCCCCAGGCGCGGGUCGUGGGCGGGGGGAGCCCUGAACCGAGGCCGGCAGUCUCCAGCUGGGAGCGCGAGUCUGAGGCUGGAGAGAGGCCUGAGGGCCUGGGUCCGGCGGGAGGAGGGGCUUUCCCGCCGUGUAGACUCUGAGCCGGAGGGGCCUCGGAGCCCUGCCCCUUUACGUGACAGAUGGGGAAACUGAGGCACGGGAGGGGCCCCUCAUGGACUCAGAGCCUUGCUCCCUCAAAUUAUAGAUGGAGAAACUGAGGCCCAGAGGCCAAUAAGUCCACCUGCCUCACCAGAUGAGGAAACUGAGGCACAGGUUAAUGGACACAGGAUCAUGGAAUUAGAGUUGCAAGGGGCCUCAAAAGCCAUUGAGCCCCACCUCAUUUUACAGAUGAGGAAACUGAGGCCCUAAGAGUGUAACUGUCAUAAGGUCGUAAAUUUUAAAGCUGGAAGGAACCUGAGAGAACACCCAUCUAGUACCCCCCCACACACCCCCACACUUUACAAUGAGGAAACUGAGGCCCCGGAAGGGAACUGGCUAUUUCAUGGCUAUGUAGGUACUAAAUGGGAGAGUCAGAAUGCAAACCCUGGUCCUCUUGCUGUUUUCCUCUGCACAGUGGUGGUUAACCUGGUAUUAGGAUAACGAAUGUGUGUUAAAUCCAGAUUUAUUUCCUGGGGAGGUCUGUUGUUUUGAAAGUGAUGACUGCUCAACGAUGGUCAUAGAUGUAGACCUAGAAGAAACUUUAGAGGCCGAUGAGUCCCAACCUCCUUCUUUUACAGAUGAGGAAACUAAGGUCCAGAGAGGGGGAGUAACUGGCCUAGGGUCACACUGGUAGUAAGUGGCAGAGCAAGGAUUUCAGUGCAAAUUCUGUGAUGUCAAAUCUAGCAUCCUUUCUAUCACGUACACCAGGCUACCACCUUUUGGUAUGUCAGCGUUUGGGAAUGGUUUAGAAAACAUUGCUUCCCUUUACCUAAAGGUUUAAGGCUGAUUGAAAGAACUUGGGGCAGAGGGGUCUUUAUCCCAGAGGAGAGAUGACCUAGAGAGGUCUUGGCUCUGUCACCUAUUACCUGUGUGACUUUAGACGAGUCAUUUUAUGUCUUUGGGCUUCGGUUUCCUCAUCUGUAAAACAGGGAGGUUGGACUAGAUGGACUCUGAGGUCACUUCUAGCUGAAAAUAUAUGAUUCUCUGAAGGUAGGACGGUUAGUUGUCUUCAGGUACUUGAAAAUCUGCCACUUUGAACAUCGAUUUGUUCCUGUGGCCAGAGAACAGAAAAAGGAGCCAGAGUGAGAUUACAGAGACAGAUGCAGGCUUGAUGAGAGAAAAUCCUCAACGGUGCGUUGCAGAGUUGGAAUGAGCUCUUCAUAGUCAUCCACAACUGGAAUAUGCCGUCUCCAUAGGUGGCAUGUUUUCCCAUGGGAGCUCUUCAAGCCAAGAUGGAUGACUGCUUCUUGAGGAUGUCGUAGUGGAGAUUUCUAUGCUUUGUGUACUUGUUCAUUUAAACUCUGAUACAGUCAUGAAAUACUUAAGUGCUUGUUAUUUGUAUGUCCCGUAGUUACCACAGUACACCUCUAGUUAGGAUAUCUGAGGUAGAAGUGAGUGCUGAACGAUUGAAGAAUAUUGCUGAUGUCAGAGACACAGCUUUGUGGCAAUUAUGAUAUCAGCAGCACUCAGUAAAAGUAUGAUUGCACUGACCCAGUCUCUUCUACCACCAAGACAAUUACUCUGCCUCGUAUUUCCCCUCCCGGAGGCCUUUCCUAGCUCUUGCUUUUCAUAACAGCUGACCUGUUUAAAUACAAAAGUAGAAAACCUACAGCAUAUGCAUUCCCCUGAAAACCCAGCAGAAAGAGAAUACAGUAUGAUAGGUCUCAACAUUUAGAUCUUUCAUAAUUCCUUACGUAAGUUAUAUUAGUCUAUUGAAUGAGAAAAGGUAAAAGAUCACUGUGGAUUUAGCAAUGCUUUUAAAGCUUAUCACAUCUAAAUACAUUUAAAAAUAAUACAUGAAUGAGAAAUUUUGUAUCCAGUAUUUUAUAUAUGGAUUUGAGACCUGUUGCAAAAACUUCAACCAUGUGGAUGUGGGCCAUAGGUUGGGAAACACAUGUUGACUUUAUAUUUUAACUACUCACUGAAAGAUAACAUAGUAUUUCAUAAUCAUUUCUGCUGAGUACCCUGGAGGCAAAUCUCUUAUCAAACUAAGGAAUUAAGAGAAUUCUCAGCAGUUGCGGAUUUUAGAGUCAUGUGAUGAUUUGGCUGAAAGGUUUUUUUUUUAAAUAAAUCUUUUGCUUUUAAUAAAGAUCUGCCCAUGAUUUAUUUCAGAAAAGAAACUUAAGUUCCUCCCCACCUUUAAGAAACUCAAAGUCUGAAGAAAGAAUGUGGCCACACUUUGAAAUUUGAGGGAGAUGGAGACAAGAAUUGAGUAUUAGGAAGAGCUCAAGCUGGAACAUGUUUGAGAAACAGUACCCUGCUUUCAGUGAUCUCUUGUUGCUACUCAGCUGCCGAUAUUUAACACCAAUAUUCUCCAGAUAACGCUUUAUAGCUUUGAGUAAUGGAAUAAAAGAAUGUUACCCUUUUUGGAAGAAUUAAAAUGACAGCCUAAAAGUCAGUGGAAUGACAAUUGGUAGAUGUAAAUAGGAUGUAGCAUGUAACCAAAGAUGACUUACGUAAAAUCAGUAGCAUGAAAGCGUUAUCAAGAAUUUGGUUAAAAAAGGAGAACAAGAAAAACCAACAGAUGGAUAUGUCAGUGCUACAUUAGUACUACCCUCUUGCCUUCCCCCCAAAGUACUAGAAUACCUUGGUAUUUGGUACAGAUUGACAUCAUAAUGUAGCGAUAGUGUAUUGGACUUGAGUUAGGAAGGCCUGGAGUCAAAUCCCAUCUCAGACACUCAAUAGGAUUGUAGGCAAGUUACUCAACCUUGCUAUUCCUCACUUUCUUCAUUUUCUAAAAUGAGUAGGUUGGAAUCAAUGGCCUCUGAUAUCCCUUCAGUUCUAAAACUAUGAUAUUGUAAAAAACAGAGGAAGACUUCCGGCUUAUUUAAUACAUUUAUGGGAAAAUACGGACAAGAUGAGAAAGCAUUUGCAUUGAUGAUAAUGUAACUCAUAAUGAUGAAGUCACAGAUCUGCCAAAGAGCCGGUGGAAAGACAGGCUAAUACGUGCAUUUUGAAAUAAAGUUAUUCCUAUUACUCCUAAUUCAUAUUAAUUUUGCUAUCUGCUAAGAAAGAAAGAAAGCAAGCCUUUAAGGAAAUGGGCCUGUGCUUCACCUCCACCCCUACCUUUAGGCUAUCCAGAUCCCAUCAGGUCUGCUAAUUAAGUAGAGGGACAAGACUGUCCAUACAAUUUGGAUUUAUAGGAGCCUACUACUCUAAUUUUUCUGAUGAGAUAAAAAAUUACCUGACCUUAUCAUUUGUCUUGUAUGUCCUCUGGGCCUUUCCAUCUACCUUUUUUCUGUGCCCUCCAGACUUUGGGGCAUUGCCAUCUGAGCUAAUGCACCCUAAGGAUCACUGGGCAUUUCUGUCUAUCCUACAGCUGAACUUUUUUAUGUCUUUCCUCUUCUAAAGUGUGAACUUCUUGAGA